AUUCGAUGCAACGCGAAAAACCUUACCUACCCUUGACAUGCCUGGAAUCCUGCAGAGAUGUGGGAGUGCUCGAAAGAGAACCAGGACACAGGUGCUGCAUGGCCGUCGUCAGCUCGUGUCGUGAGAUGUUGGGUUAAGUCCCGCAACGAGCGCAACCCUUGUCAUUAGUUGCUACGAAAGGGCACUCUAAUGAGACUGCCGGUGACAAACCGGAGGAAGGUGGGGAUGACGUCAGGUCCUCAUGGCCCUUAUGGGUAGGGCUACACACGUCAUACAAUGGCCGGUACAGAGGGCUGCCAACCCGCGAGGGGGAGCUAAUCCCAGAAAACCGGUCGUAGUCCGGAUCGCAGUCUGCAACUCGACUGCGUGAAGUCGGAAUCGCUAGUAAUCGCGGAUCAGCUUGCCGCGGUGAAUACGUUCCCGGGUCUUGUACACACCGCCCGUCACACCAUGGGAGCGGGUUCUGCCAGAAGUAGUUAGCCUAACCGCAAGGAGGGCGAUUACCACGGCAGGGUUCGUGACUGGGGUGAAGUCGUAACAAGGUAGCCGUAUCGGAAGGUGCGGCUGGAUCACCUCCUU
RNAcentral lists this ribosomal RNA (579 nucleotides) under uncultured Leptothrix sp. RNAcentral describes it as "bacterial SSU rRNA". It matches the Rfam family "Bacterial small subunit ribosomal RNA", at positions 949 to 1532 of the family's 1533-position model. The record is from RNAcentral. Lineage: Bacteria; Pseudomonadati; Pseudomonadota; Betaproteobacteria; Burkholderiales; Sphaerotilaceae.